GGGCCUGUGGCUCAGCCAGGUAGAGAGGAAACCUGCAGCGGCUGGCUCUUAACCAGUAGGUCGUGGGUUCAAAUCCCACCAGGCCCGCCA
This 90-nucleotide transfer RNA is filed under the name Nitrososphaerota archaeon. RNAcentral describes it as "Thaumarchaeota archaeon tRNA-Lys". It matches the Rfam family "tRNA". From Rfam's summary of the family: Transfer RNA (tRNA) molecules are approximately 80 nucleotides in length. Their secondary structure includes four short double-helical elements and three loops (D, anti-codon, and T loops). Further hydrogen bonds mediate the characteristic L-shaped molecular structure. tRNAs have two regions of fundamental functional importance: the anti-codon, which is responsible for specific mRNA codon recognition, and the 3' end, to which the tRNAs corresponding amino acid is attached (by aminoacyl-tRNA synthetases). tRNAs cope with the degeneracy of the genetic code in two manners: having more than one tRNA (with a specific anti-codon) for a particular amino acid; and 'wobble' base-pairing, i.e. permitting non-standard base-pairing at the 3rd anti-codon position. The record is from RNAcentral. Lineage: Archaea; Thermoproteati; Nitrososphaerota. RNAcentral also lists the same sequence under 1 other name.